CCCCUAGAUGUUCUGGGCCGCACGCGCGCUACACUGAACAGUUCAACAAGUCUUAACCUUGGCCGAUAGGUCUGGGUAAUCUUUGAACGCUGUUCGUGAUUGGGAUAGACCUUUGCAAUUAUGGGUCUUCAACGAGGAAUUCCUAGUAAACGCAAGUCAUCAGCUUGCAUUGAUUACGUCCCUGCCCUUUGUACACACCGCCCGUCGCACCUACCGAUUGAAUGGUCCGGUGAAAUCUCGGGACGGCGGCUUGGUCGCUUGCGUCCGACUGCUGAAACUUGAUUAAACCUUNUNAUUUAUNGGAAGGUGAANUCGUANCA
Molecule: ribosomal RNA, 320 nt
Filed under: uncultured eukaryote
Lineage: Eukaryota
Description: partial 18S ribosomal RNA
Rfam family: Eukaryotic small subunit ribosomal RNA
Source: RNAcentral